CUGACAACCACUGUUCUGCUUGGUGUUCCUGCAGACACAUUUGCCUUUUCUAGAAUAUCUAAGAAAUGGAAUCAAACAAGACUUCUUUCAUGCAACAGCAUGCCUCUGAAACUCAAUCAAGUUUUUGUGUAUAUCAAUAUUGGCUCAUUUGUUUGAUCGUAAAAUGAAGCCACACAUAGUCUUUGGAUUUAAUCAUUGUCCACUUAGCUUCUUUUUUGAUGCCUUUUCUUGUAUGUUAGCUGAAAAAAAAAAAUAGUUAGGUUUGCAUCAUUUGUUUAGUCAUUUCCCAGUUUGAUGGUGUGAGGAAUACUACUAGAAUGCAGGAAGCUUAAGCCUACAGAGUUUAUUCUUUGAAUUUUUAUAACUGUGGUGGAAACUGGAUUUCUGUUCCCUAUAUCUGGAUUGAAUUCUAUCUGCUGCUAGCCGUGAGCAUUUUUGUGUAUAUGAGGCCAACUCUGGUGGUGAGAAGCACUAUCAUCCGACUUCUUUGUGCAGCUAUGGAGGGAGACUUGCAGCCUCUCAGUGUUGCGGCUUUCAGCUGAUGUUGACCUAGAACUGUGUGAAGAGUUCAGGAGACUUGUCCUCUAGGUGUGCUAUGCCUUGAUGUUGCCAUCGAAACCGGAGGCUCCGCAUGGGAUUUUGCUACUACCAAGAAAAAUCGGCAGGGAAUUAUUGGCUGUGCCAAGAAAGAUCACUUGGGAAACACAAAAGAUGUUCUCUGAGAACGGAGGAAGGGCUUAGAGAACAAUUGGAAGACACUUUCAAUGUCUACACAAGAAAAAAGGGCCAGAAUAUAUAAAGAUGUGGACCAACUUCAGGGUUCUGUGGAGCUGAACCAACAAACUUGGUGACUAGCUCGACAUGGGGGAAUGAUGUCAAGAAAAGUUAACCUCAUGUGGCAAUUGUAUCUGAC
RNAcentral lists this long non-coding RNA (913 nucleotides) under Vulpes vulpes (red fox). RNAcentral describes it as "lncRNA (ENSVVUG00000009979.1)". Lineage: Eukaryota; Metazoa; Chordata; Mammalia; Carnivora; Canidae. The record is from RNAcentral.